This 302-nucleotide ribosomal RNA is filed under the name uncultured bacterium. RNAcentral describes it as "bacterial SSU rRNA". It matches the Rfam family "Bacterial small subunit ribosomal RNA", at positions 9 to 311 of the family's 1533-position model. The record is from RNAcentral.
GAGUUUGAUCCUGGCUCAGGACGAACGCUGGCGGCGUGCUUAACACAUGCAAGUCGAGCGGUAAGGCCCUUUCGGGGGUACACGAGCGGCGAACGGGUGAGUAACACGUGGGUAACCUGCCCUCAGCUCUGGGAUAAGCCCGGGAAACUGGGUCUAAUACCGGAUAUGACUCCGCAUCGCAUGGUGUGGGGUGGAAAGCCUUGUGCGGCUGAGGAUGGGCCCGCGGCCUAUCAGCUUGUUGGUGGGGUAGUGGCCUACCAAGGCGACGACGGGUAGCCGGCCUGAGAGGGCGACCGUGCCAC